Molecule: small nucleolar RNA, 81 nt
Organism: Trichechus manatus latirostris (Florida manatee)
Lineage: Eukaryota; Metazoa; Chordata; Mammalia; Sirenia; Trichechidae
Product: small nucleolar RNA SNORD115
Exons: 1
Source: RefSeq, a predicted model, not a curated record
GUGUCAGUGAUGACACCUAAAGUUGUCUUCAAGACAGAUGAUGACAUAAAAGUCAUACUCAAUAGGGUUACGCUGAGACCC